UACCUGCAUGAAAAACAUUUAACCUGAUAACAGCAAUAUUAGGCAGAUUACCUAAAUCACAUGUGAAGGACAGCGCCACGGACUGAACGCGAUGUGCCAAAUCACGUUAAAAUCUCCUCCUCCAGCAGAUGAAGUGAACAAUGACGGCUCAGAGUUCGAGGGUGGGAAGAUGUUCAACCCAUUUUGAAAUGUGAUGUAACAUGUUCAAAAUCAAUAAAAUAAAACGUGAUAAUAAUGAA
Scophthalmus maximus (turbot) is the source of this 239-nucleotide long non-coding RNA. RefSeq lists it as uncharacterized. NCBI's taxonomy places the organism in Eukaryota, Metazoa, Chordata, Actinopteri, Pleuronectiformes, Scophthalmidae. The transcript is spliced from 2 exons. The record is from RefSeq and is a predicted model, not a curated record.